Molecule: non-coding RNA, 31 nt
Filed under: Mus musculus (house mouse)
Lineage: Eukaryota; Metazoa; Chordata; Mammalia; Rodentia; Muridae
Source: RNAcentral
UGCAACGCUACCAGAACCAAAGCCACCUGCC